RNAcentral lists this unclassified non-coding RNA (7343 nucleotides) under Leishmania donovani. RNAcentral's name for it is "gene:LdHU3.07.1210(CDS-product:protein_kinase_put ative)". The record is from RNAcentral. Lineage: Eukaryota; Euglenozoa; Kinetoplastea; Trypanosomatida; Trypanosomatidae.
UGCCAGCCUAGUUGGGAAAGGUAGAAGCAGCACGAGCGAGUAGCUAGUCCGCCUUCCUCCACGUCCCUCUCCGCUCCCCCUCCACCUCUCUUUCCUGCCCAGCAGCUUGGAACCGGAAGAAGCCUGCAAAACCGCAUUCAACAGACGGAUAAUCGAGAACCACGCAAAGUCCGAGCACGCACCACACGCACCCCCCAACUAAGAAACGAAAGCGCGUUUGCAACGGGCAGCCUCAAAAACAGCAGCGGCUCACCAUACGUGUCGGCACGCACCUCUCACCGAACGUGUGAACCCGGAGGACGAAGAAGACGCGCAAGUAGAUUAGAGCAGAGGUGGCUGAGGCACCUGCGGGGUUACUGCUCGAGGCGCCGCUACAGAACGAGCCACCACUCAACAGCAGAGAAACACGAAGGGCGGGCGACAGUGCACCUUGCUGUUUUGUGCGCGUGUCGGUGGUUUUCCUUAUUUUUACCUUCUUGGUGGGUCACGGCCGUACGCUGUUUCUCUCUCUCUCUCGCUCUGUGUGCGUGUCACUGACGCUCCCCCUUUCCUCUUUCGCAACCUCGAACACGACGACCACCAUCACAUACACACCUCUGUAUAAUUCAAGCCCCUCCCCGCCCUCCCCACCGGUGCAUCAGCGUCUUAGAUCGUUCUUUGUGUGUGUUUGUGUGUUGGCUACCCGUUCGCUGUAGCUGCGCCUGAGUGUUUUCUUCGUUGGCGUGCGUGUCUCUCCUUUCCUGUUGAUUUUUUUUUUCGUAGUUGUGCCUCCGUCCCGCUGCGCGCCCGCGCGUGUGCGUCGGUGACGCUCUCCCUUCCUCUGCGUGUGUGUUCACGUUUGCUUGUUUGCUCUCUCACGCUGUCGUUGAACUCCCGCUGUUGGCCACGUCCUGUCGUUUCCUGUCCCCCCCUCUCUUCCCUGCCUGUCUGUCCCUUCUCACCUUCACUCUCUAUUUCUAUCUGUGUGUGUGUGUGUGUGUGUGUGUGUGUGUCUAUCAAACCCCCUCUCCCUUUCCCUUCUCCACCACACGACUGCCACCCCUCCCUCUCCCCCGCCCCCCUUUCUGUUUGUUCGUUGUGUCGCGUCUCGCAGCUCUUACGCCUGACUCCCUAGUUGUGCUCUCUCUCUCCUUUCUUUUUUUUUUUCGUUCUUCCGUUCUCCUUUCCCUGUGACUCGCAUCGCAUUGCUGUCCUUUGUGCUCGCCGAGCUUCCUCCCGGUCUUGCGGGCGCGCUUCUCCGGUGUGCCCCUUUCCUCCUCCUCCUCCGCCUCCUCCUCCGCCUCCGCCUCCGCCUCCGCCUCCUUCCAUCCUCCAUAGCUGUCAUCUGCUUUCACCGCGAACUCCGUUCCCUUGCCCUUUCCUCCUUGUCGCUUGCCUGUUUCGCUUAUCGACUCCCUUUCUCGCUUCUUUGCUUGUUGUGCAUGCCUUCGCCCGCUAUCAGUGAAUCUCGCGUCACAUUUUUCCUUUUUUUGUUGGGCUUUUCUUUUUUUUUUUUGGGUUUGUUUGCGUGCUGCCUCUCAAGCUCUCCUCCUCCCCCCUCUCGCCUUCCCUUCUCUCACGUCCCUCUGCGGCUGUCUCUUCUUGCGUACAUCUCUGUGCUGGUGGUCGCUGCUCUGCCGUUGAUUGGGGCGCGCUUGCCAUCUCUCGUCGUUCUCGUUGUUGUCGUUGCUAUUUUCCGCAUCGUCAUCUGGGAUAUCUCGCCGCCCUCCACUCAACCGUCAACCCAUCACGUGUGGCCCCCUCUCCCUCCUCCCUCCCUUUCUCUCUCUCUGAGUACCUCGCAGCUGCCGCGCGCGAAUAUUGUUGAGCAUCCGUCUCUCUUUGAAGUAGAGCCUCUCUGUGUGUGUGUGUGUGUGCUCCUCUGGCGUGCGGCGGAAGGAGGCGGUGUGAGGCAUCGGGCAGAGAUUGGGAGCGUGUGGGCUGCAUCUUCCUUUCCGCCGCUGCAUCCUUCUCCUUCUUUGUUCUGUUCUCGCUAACACCCACUUUCUCCCGAGUGCACAACGCUGCUCCCGCGCGUGUUCUCUCGGCUCGUCUGUCCGUCUGUUUCGCUGUCUAUUUAUCACGUCACUCUUGGCUUUUAUCAUCCUUUUUCUUCUGCGGUGUGUGUGUGUGUGUUUCCUUCCCCUUCCCUCGGGUCUGCCGGCUGCCAAUUAGCUCCCUCUUCGUUGCCACGUAUAUAUGUACUCCUCCCCCUCCCUCCCACGCCCGCUUCGCUCUUGAACCCUCUGAUCCCCACCACCCCCGCCCCGCCCUGUCCUGCCCUUAUUGUUACUCUCAGCGUUAUCGCCUUCUUUGUUUCUUUUUUUUUCAGAAAAAAACAUUCGCUCGACUGCUGUGUGUGUGUGUGUGCGGUGCUCACGGGUGUAGCUCGCUCUGCCUGUGUGUCUGCGUGUCGUAGCCUCCCCCCCUUCCCCACCCCCAGUCUUCGGUUUACGUUCUUUCUUUACUUCGUGCGCGCGCGCUUGCCGUUGUCUGUGUGGGCGCACGCACAGGCGUUUGGUAGGUGAAUCGGCGGCGCAUGCGCGUACCCUCUUUCUCUCCUCUCCCUCCACUUCACACGCCUCGUUACCCCACGCGUCGCACAGCAUCUGUGUGGCGACGCGGGCCUACGGGCCGUUCUUUUCCGUGUUUCCCUCUUCGUACAGUGACGGCAGUCGCUGAGGUACUCCAGCCAAACGGUGCUGGAAGCACAGAAAGGCUCGAAGAGCACGCGCGCGCACCAACACGCGUGGACACCCACACGCACGCACACAAAACAUACAGUGAUGGACUCGGCGUCAGGCAUUAGUGGCUCUGCAUGCGGGUCCAGGCAUAAUCGGCCACGGGUCUUCUGCGUUGUCUGCGGAAGCUGCAGUGAGCAUCUUAUCCUCCGCAAGUCAGGCCUCAAGUGCGCGAGCUGCGUAGGGAAGUCGUCGAACAAGCACUACGCUAAGUUGCAGAAGCGGCAGGCAAAGAAACUCUUUUCCAAUGCCUUUCCAGCGCAGAGCCCGACUGCCGGCUUAGACACCGCCUCCUCCGUGCAACCCGGAGACUGCAGCCAAACCAAUCGCCUUUUCAGCUCUGCUUCCUCAUCGCUACCACCAGCCGUGGAGGACUACAGCGGCACCGCCGGAGUGUCCACGGAGCGCAGCAGCACCUUGCACCCUAUCGAAGAGUACAUCAGCGGCACCUCGGUGUACCGCGCCGUCAUGGAGCAGGCAUGCUACUCCGGUGAGAACGAUCGAAGCGGCGGCGAGGGCGGCAGCGGCGAUCGGCAGACACUCAUGAGCGGUGCGGACGGCGUCACCCGAUCCACAUCCGACGCGCUUAGUAAAGCACAUCAAGAGAACACUGCGUCUGGCUCACACACCAACGUCUCCUCCUCGGCUGCUGCCGGCGAUAAUGCUGGAGAUAUGCGUCGAACAUCUCCGCCCCUUAUGACUCAACGCCAAGAAAGUGGCGAUGCGCAGUGCAGCGACCCAGGUUCGGCGAAGAGCGGUAGAGAUGGCGUCGGCAAGACACCGCUCUGCCGAGACUCUUCACUCAUCCCUCCAACGCCGAUUCUCGACAAAGUCACAGAGAAGGAGGCCAACAAUCAAGCUCCGGCGCGUUGCUACAAGACGGCGCCGUCGCGCUUGCCGCCCCGCCACGGGCCUCGAGUGACCAAGGGCACGCCGCGUCUGCCACCGUCCGCGGUCGACGUGAGUAGAGUGUCCGCAGCGCAUACGGUCUCUGCAAAGUCCAACGGAAAGGCGACGGGCACCUCCUCGCUGAACGGCGCGACUGCGUCCCCGCCGUCCUCCGCCAUCAAGGCGGUGCCCGCCGCAGCUCGCUGCGUUGAGGGCCAGGACUUGAUGCCCGAAAGUGGCAACAGCGUGUUGCGCGACGCCACCCUGCCACCCGCCGAGCCCGCCGCCGGCCAGCACCACUCGCACCCCAGUACGCCGCGCGGCGACGAAGGUACCACACCAUUAGCAGCGAGCCUUUCCCAAAACCCCACGCAUCCUCCGCAGGUGCUGCGGGCCUCCAGACAGUCACCGACGACGUUCCCGGACGCGAGCUUGGGUCUGCCAGCGCCGCGAGCAGGCAGCUGCAACACAUCCAUCACCUCCUCGACGAUGGAGCGCGGCCCCGCGUCGCGACUGCCGCUGCUUCACUCGCACGCGGAUAGCAACGCGGGUACGCAGGUCCAACGUGAUUCCCAAGGUGGAACUCGGCGCUUGAGCGCAGCGCCGUCGACAGUGUCAACGCUGCCGAACACGUCGGUGCGGCCCGUAGACGCGCCCGGGGCUGCCGGCGCAGGAGCGCCGUCGCUGAGCCGUAUGCCAAAUUCCUCAGGGGCUACCGCCGCUGCUCUCGACAACUGUCAUAGCGUCGGCAGCAGCAGCCGAUGCCGGCACAACAAGCGAGGCAGCCGCGGAGGCUCCUCCGGCGACUCGGAGUCGUCUUCGUCCAGCUUGUCCGAUGACGCCUCCGCCAUUGAUUCAUCGUUGCCCUCAGUGGUAUCGUCAGCGACGCCAGAGGCCGUCAUCGGAGAGGACGGUGCUGCCACCAGUGGGACGGGCACGAAGAAAGCGCUGCACGGCGGCACCAACGCCCUCGAUGUGGGCACGAAGAAGCGGACAAGACAGGUGCCAAAGUCGGUGGACAGCACAAUGGAGAAGAAGGGGGCAGGCGGCAGCGCGGGCCACGGGCUUGCGACAACGCCCCUUAGCGGCUAUAUCGAUGCCUUGCACAUAACCGUCGAGUCUGUUCAGCCACCGUUGCUGAACGGUCCAGAGACGACGACAUUCGCCCCUUGUGGUGGUGAUGAGCUACCGCAGGCCGCAACGAGCUAUAACGACGAGAGUAGCACUACCACAGGUGACACACACAGCCGCUGUGACUCGAUACGCAGUGGCUCCUUCCGCACAAACGACGGCUACCAGCGGCAGGUGUACGUUGUCGGGCAGUCGGGCAACUUCAAGGUGACGCGGCACAUUCGCCAGUGCAGUGGCAGUAGCGAUGUGCUCGCCGGGCGGAGCAGCGCCGCCGUUGCCUCGUCUGCGUCUGGCACGCUCACGGCGACGCGUCUACGCGGCCGGCAGCAGCACGGCAGCUCGGGCGACACCAUGGGCACUGGCGCGGUGGAGGUGAAGAGGAUCUCGUACCGCAUAAUCGUCAAAAACCGCUGCAGCGGCGAAGUUCUCUUGACGCAGGAGCGGCGUCUCUACACCCAAAUCAUACCCGCGCUGGAGCGGGUGAAGGCGAUCGCGGGCGGCGAGCUGCCGGCGGUGCCGGUGAAGCGGCUGCCCAGCCUGCGGUUUGCCACGGAGGUGUUCACGGAGGAGCGCCGUGCAGAAGUCGAGGCGUUCCUUCAGGCCGUCGCGCUGAGCCCCUUUUAUGUUCGCCACCCAGAAGUGGUGAAGCUGCUCGGGCUGGAGCUGUACGUGACCGACGCCGGCGCGGCCGCAGCGACCGGUGCCGCAGCGGCGAAAGGCAGCCGUGGCAACGGAGCGGAUGCUCAUCGGCCCAGCAAAUCACCACGCGCCAUGCAUACGAAAUCAUCACCGUCGAUGGGCGUCGGCGCCGACAUCGAGGUAACACCGCUGGCACGAAGAGGGGCUGCUUGUGACUCGAAGUAUCUUAGUCGUCACUCAAGAGAUGGCGAGGCCGGCGUUAGAGCGGCUGCGGCGACUGGCCGCGGUGAGGCGGGCACCGGCUGCCUCACAGUAGACGCCCUCAACGCUUAUUGCUCCUUGACUAUGGGGGGCGGUGGAGGCGACACCGCUGAUAGCAGGAAUUUCUGCCGCUCGCAGAGCUGCUCCAGCGUGCAGACCUCUUGCUCUUCCGUGGUGCGUCGUCGCAAGCUGGACGAGGUGACCAUGGAGGACCUCGAGCACAUCCAACUCGGCAAUCUCAUCGGCCGCGGCACUUUCGGUUCUGUCUACCUGGGACUAGUGCAGACCCAACGUGGCUCGCUGAUGGUGGCCGUGAAGGUGAUGAAGGUCGGCGAGGCGGUAGCGCCGUCGGAGAUGGAGAGCCUUCAACGCGAGCUGGACGUGCUGUGCGCCGCCCGGCACAAGAACAUCAUCCGCUUCCUCGGCAGCUCGCUGAAUACGACGACGCGUGACCUGCGCGUCUUCACGGAAUACGUGGAGUGCGGCACCAUCCGCUCCCUUGUCGACCGCUUCGGUGCCUUGACGAUGCUGGCGAUUCAGCAGUACAUGCAGCAGAUACUGAGUGGCCUGCAGUACCUGCACAGCCUCUCGAUCGCACAUCGCGACAUCAAGGGUGAGAACAUUCUCGUCACCAAAAAUGGCCGUAUCAAGCUCUCCGACUUUGGCAGCAGUACCGGCGCGCCGUGCAAGGUAGUGGCCGCUGCCGAGUCCCCUUCCAAGGGGGGAAGCGGCGGGAGUGCGGACAGCGCGGCAAACGGUGGCCUCCCGGUCGGCUCACCGCAGUACAUGGCGCCAGAGGUGAUUCAUGGCACCGUCAAAUCGUUUGCCGCGGUCGACAUCUGGUCACUCGGGUGCGUCGGGAUUGAGAUGAUGGAUCGACCCAUCUGGCGCGAGAGCCCAAGCACAAACCCGUUCGUCUUUCUCUAUCGCAUCAGCCGUUGCGGGACGCCUCCGCACGGGCUGCCAACGGACGAUGAGCUCGCCGCGCUCAAGGCGGAAGGCAAGAAGACGGAAUGCGAGGGCUUCUCCGUGUACCUGGAAUUUCUCAGGAGCUGCUUGCGCGUUGACCCGGAGCAGCGCCCGUCCGCGGCGGAGUUGCUCAAGCACCCCUUCAUGACCUACCCGUACUCGAAGCACCUCCGCUGGAUGCCGCCGAUGCCCGCUACCGCGAAGCCCUCAGCUCUCAAGUCUUCAUGAUUGGCGAAGGUGCGCCCCGUCGCACCGAUCCGUGUGCGUGUUAGUGUGUGCUGUUCAUGUUGUGUGUGCACAUACGUAUAUACCACACAUUUAUAUCUAUGUUUUCUGUUUUUGCUCGGUGUCUUGUUUUCGCCGUCCCUUCGCUCUCCUCCCGCCCCCCCUGCGCACAUGGGACGUACGUGUGUUGUCAUGGCGAGGGUGUCGCAGUGUUGUGUGCGUGCCAGUGGGUGCUGCGAGGAACGUGCUUGUGUGCUUGUUUCAUGCUCCCCCUUUUUUGCUUGCUCUUGCUUACUUCGCUUGCGGAUGUGCUCCCUCCCUCCCUCCUGAUCUCUCUCCAUCUAUCUAUAUAUGUAUGCGUGUGUACGUGUACGUGUGUCUGUAUUUUGUUGUGUGCAUGCGUGUUGUCUGCCUUGUCCGUGGGCGAAGGUUUUCCCCCCUCUCACUCUCCGCCCUUCUGUUGCUUAUGUGUGCACGUGUGUGCCUCUUGUCGGUUAGACCGUUGUCGCG